Molecule: ribosomal RNA, 302 nt
Filed under: uncultured bacterium
Lineage: Bacteria
Description: partial 16S ribosomal RNA
Rfam family: Bacterial small subunit ribosomal RNA
Source: RNAcentral
GCAGUACCGCGGUAAUACAGAGGGUGCGAGCGUUAAUCGGAUUUACUGGGCGUAAAGCGUGCGUAGGCGGCUUCUUAAGUCGGAUGUGAAAUCCCUGAGCUUAACUUAGGAAUUGCAUUCGAUACUGGGAAGCUAGAGUAUGGGAGAGGAUGGUAGAAUUCCAGGUGUAGCGGUGAAAUGCGUAGAGAUCUGGAGGAAUACCGAUGGCGAAGGCAGCCAUCUGGCCUAAUACUGACGCUGAGGUACGAAAGCAUGUGGAGCAAACAGGAUUAGAGACCCCUGUAGUCCCUGUCUCUUAUACA